Long non-coding RNA from Heterocephalus glaber (naked mole-rat), 1011 nucleotides. NCBI's taxonomy places the organism in Eukaryota, Metazoa, Chordata, Mammalia, Rodentia, Bathyergidae. The record is from Ensembl.
GUCUGAGUUGAUUUUGCAUGUGAUGUCUGGGGAGUGAAGCUCUGGAAAACAAAAUAUCAAGGACAGUUUCCCAGGCUGAGAGGUGAAGGCUGCCUCCCUCCCUCCUAACAAGACCAGGCAGCCGCAGGGUGGGAAGGACUCCAGGAGCGAGUCUGUGCCUGUCUGGGGGAGGACACAGCCCAUGUCUGCUCACCACUUGUCCUGUGCCUCCUUAGGGAAGGCUCUGCCCAGCAGGGCCUGGGACAUCAUCACAUUCGGUGGGUCUUUGUUGGGUGGAUGGAUGGAUUGACAAACAGAUGGACAAAUGGACGGAUGGAUACGUAAACACCAACUGAUGACUGCAUGGCUAGGUGGAUGGAUGGACACCUAUAUGCAGGGAUAAAUAAAUGGAUAGCUGGAUGAAGAGACAGUGCGGAGACAGCCAGGCAUGGUGGUGCACGGCUGUAAUCCCAGCUCUCGAGAGGCUGAGGCAGGAGGAUGGCCAUGACUUCAAGGCCAGCCUGGGCUACAUAGUGAGUUCAAGACCAGCCUGAACUGCACAGCAAGACCCUGUCUCAAAAUAACAAAACAAAACAAAAAACCCUAUUACUUCUUGUUAGUUUCUUACCAUGCCUAAUCCAAACAAUUAAAUUUUACCAUAGGGGGUGUGUGUUGGAAAACGUGGUACACAGAUAGGGUCCAGUACUGUCUGAGGUACUGGGGGCUGGGGAGGACUCCCCUGUGGGUGGGGGUGCUCUUAAACACUGGGGAUGGCUGCACAGCUCUGUGAACUUGCAGUCCAUACAACCGUGCACUUCACAGGAGCAGAUGAUAGGUAAAGUGCGGCCCUACGAAGCUGUUUCAAAAAGGCCCCUAGUGGUGGCUGAAGCAAGCAAGAGGUGGCUAAAGGCCCCCUGAAGAUGCUGCCCAAGCUGUGCCCACCAGGCCGCCUCCCCAGGCUUCCAGUCUGUAGGGCAGGUGAGGGUGCCUCCCUGUGGGCAGUGCUGUCCCCUCCCUGGCCCUCAAGCUGAG